RNAcentral lists this long non-coding RNA (228 nucleotides) under Callithrix jacchus (white-tufted-ear marmoset). RNAcentral describes it as "lncRNA (ENSCJAG00000082983.1)". The record is from RNAcentral. Lineage: Eukaryota; Metazoa; Chordata; Mammalia; Primates; Cebidae.
AGGUGCUACUAUGGCUGAGAACAUCUGUUUUGCUCCUUCUCCAUCCUUCGCAUGGCAGGGCACCGUCCUGACACAGACCGAUGCCAUGGCUGCCAGUUGCUCUCUGAGGAGGAGGACAGGGAGUUAUGAAACUUGGAAAGGCCUUUAAUUAAUCUUCCUGCUGUCCAUUCCUGCUCAUGGCCCCCAAGCUGAUUCGGGUGCCUCUGCAGGGCUUUGCUGGGAAGGGCG